CCCCUAAUGGCCGCAAGGGGACAAAAUGGUAGCCGGCCUGAGAGGGCGACCGGCCACACUGGGACUGAGACACGGCCCAGACUCCUACGGGAGGCAGCAGUGGGGAAUAUUGCACAAUGGGCGAAAGCCUGAUGCAGCGACGCCGCGUGAGGGAUGACGGCCUUCGGGUUGUAAACCUCUUUCAGCAGGGAAGAAGCGAAAGUGACGGUACCUGCAGAAGAAGCGCCGGCUAACUACGUGCCAGCAGCCGCGGUAAUACGUAGGGCGCAAGCGUUGUCCGGAAUUAUUGGGCGUAAAGAGCUCGUAGGCGGCUUGUCACGUCGGAUGUGAAAGCCCGGGGCUUAACCCCGGGUCUGCAUUCGAUACGGGCUAGCUAGAGUGUGGUAGGGGAGAUCGGAAUUCCUGGUGUAGCGGUGAAAUGCGCAGAUAUCAGGAGGAACACCGGUGGCGAAGGCGGAUCUCUGGGCCAUUACUGACGCUGAGGAGCGAAAGCGUGGGGAGCGAACAGGAUUAGAUACCCUGGUAGUCCACGCCGUAAACGUUGGGAACUAGGUGUUGGCGACAUUCCACGUCGUCGGUGCCGCAGCUAACGCAUUAAGUUCCCCGCCAGGGGAGAGGUACGAA
RNAcentral lists this ribosomal RNA (624 nucleotides) under Streptomyces sp. RNAcentral describes it as "bacterial SSU rRNA". It matches the Rfam family "Bacterial small subunit ribosomal RNA", at positions 255 to 890 of the family's 1533-position model. Lineage: Bacteria; Bacillati; Actinomycetota; Actinomycetes; Kitasatosporales; Streptomycetaceae. The record is from RNAcentral.